AUUGAACGCUGGCGGCAUGCCUUACACACGCAAGUCGAACGGCAGCACGGGAGCAAUCCUGGUGGCGAGUGGCGAACGGGUGGGUAAUAUAUCGGAACGUGCCCAGUCGUGGGGGAUAACGCAGCGAAAGCUGUGCUAAUACCGCAUACGAUCUACGGAUGAAAGCGGGGGAUCGCAAGACCUCGCGCGAUUGGAGCGGCCGGUAUCAGAUUAGCUAGUUGGUGAGGUAAAGGCUCACCAAGGCGACGAUCUGUAGCUUGUCUGAGAGGACGACCAGCCACACUGGAACUGAGACACGGUCCAGACUCCUACGGGAGGCAGCAGUGGGGAAUUUUGGACAAUGGGCGAAAGCCUGAUCCAGCAAUGCCGCGUGCAGGAUGAAGGCCUUCGGGUUGUAAACUGCUUUUGUACGGAACGAAACGGUGAGCUCUAAUACAGUUUGCUAAUGACGGUACCGUAAGAAUAAGCACCGGCUAACUACGUGCCAGCCGCCGCAGUAA
RNAcentral lists this ribosomal RNA (500 nucleotides) under uncultured bacterium. RNAcentral describes it as "partial 16S ribosomal RNA". It matches the Rfam family "Bacterial small subunit ribosomal RNA", at positions 30 to 523 of the family's 1533-position model. The record is from RNAcentral.